GAUGAACGCUGGCGGCGUGCUUAACACAUGCAAGUCGAACGAUGAAGCCCAGCUUGCUGGGUGGAUUAGUGGCGAACGGGUGAGUAACACGUGAGUAACCUGCCCUUAACUCUGGGAUAAGCCUGGGAAACUGGGUCUAAUACCGGAUAGGAGCGCCUACCGCAUGGUGGGUGUUGGAAAGAUUUAUCGGUUUUGGAUGGACUCGCAGCCUAUCAGCUUGUUGGUGAGGUAAUGGCUCACCAAGGCGACGACGGGUAGCCGGCCUGAGAGGGUGACCGGCCACACUGGGACUGAGACACGGCCCAGACUCCUACGGGAGGCAGCAGUGGGGAAUAUUGCACAAUGGGCGAAAGCCUGAUGCAGCGACGCCGCGUGAGGGAUGACGGCCUUCGGGUUGUAAACCUCUUUCAGUAGGGAAGAAGCGAAAGUGACGGUACCUGCAGAGGAAGCACCGGCUAACUACGUG
RNAcentral lists this ribosomal RNA (466 nucleotides) under uncultured bacterium. Its description in RNAcentral is "partial 16S ribosomal RNA". It matches the Rfam family "Bacterial small subunit ribosomal RNA", at positions 28 to 507 of the family's 1533-position model. The record is from RNAcentral.